AAUGGAGGAAACUCUGAUGCAGCGAUGCCGCGUGAGUGAAGAAGGCCCUUGGGUUGUAAAGCUCUUUCGUCGGGGAAGAAAAUGACUGUACCCGAAUAAGAAGGUCCGGCUAACUUCGUGCCAGCAGCCGCGGUAAUACGAAGGGACCUAGCGUAGUUCGGAAUUACUGGGCUUAAAGAGUUCGUAGGUGGUUGAAAAAGUUGGUGGUGAAAUCCCAGAGCUUAACUCUGGAACUGCCAUCAAAACUUUUCAGCUAGAGUAUGAUAGAGGAAAGCAGAAUUUCUAGUGUAGAGGUGAAAUUCGUAGAUAUAGAAAGAAUACCAAUUGCGAAGGCAGCUUUCUGGAUCAUUACUGACACUGAGGAACGGAAGCAUGGGUAGCGAAGAGGAUU
This 391-nucleotide ribosomal RNA is filed under the name uncultured Gammaproteobacteria bacterium. RNAcentral describes it as "bacterial SSU rRNA". It matches the Rfam family "Bacterial small subunit ribosomal RNA", at positions 370 to 779 of the family's 1533-position model. Lineage: Bacteria; Pseudomonadati; Pseudomonadota; Gammaproteobacteria. The record is from RNAcentral.